Drosophila melanogaster (fruit fly) is the source of this 647-nucleotide non-coding RNA. NCBI's taxonomy places the organism in Eukaryota, Metazoa, Arthropoda, Insecta, Diptera, Drosophilidae. The record is from Ensembl.
UCCAUCGGGGUUACAGGUGGGCAGGAAGUGGAUUUCGGUGAGAUUUAGUAGCGCCUGGACCUUCGGGUCCCCAUCGUAGUGGGUGGCCAGGUAUUCGGCCAUAUAGAGAACCAUCUGACGACCCACGGCUUCAUCGCCUUGUAUGUUGGCCACCAGUUUAACCAUUGGCCUUAGGAGAUCUCCAUUCUUGGACUCCCCGGUAGUGAGGACUCUCCAGGAAGUUGUCCUCUUCCUGGAUGACCCGGACUUCGCUGUAUUCUCCGACUGCGCAGCCGAUGAUCAAGGCUAGGCAGAAAAACAACAUUUUGGGGAUUCUCGGGGACUCUCCCGGAGCGCUCGCAGUUUCUGUACACGUAGGCAGGCAGCAAUGCGAUGAUUAAGACACAAAACGCAGGCGCGCCACUUUCAACAGAAAGUGGAUGCUGAAUGAAUGAACUAUUUUCCCCAGAACCACUUUCUUGAACUUUCUUAGUGCCAAUUUUUAAACUUGUGCCACAAAUGUGGGCACGCCACGCACACAAACGUAAAAAAACACCGACACACCGAUGCAAAGAUCUACGCACACCCAGAUGCGCGCACAAUAGAGCUGCAGUUAUUGCACUUUCUUUUCGUACACUUUUUUCGCAAUGAUCUUCUCGCCAGCCUAG